UAGCUAAGUUGCUGAGGCUGGCUUUGAAAUUAUGAUCCUCCUGCCUCAGCCUCCUGAGCUGCUAGGAUUACAGGUGUGCACCACCACGUCCAGCUACCCACAUUUUUUUAAUUGGUGCAUUAUAGUUGUACAUAAUGACGGAGUUAUUGUUACGUAUUUGUCCAUGCACACACUAUAACAAUAUAAUUUUGUCACUAUCAUUCAUUGGCACCUCCCACCUCCCUCCCUUCUUCCCACUGCUGGGUCCCUUUCCUCUACUGAACUCCUUUCAAUUUUCAUGAGAUCUGUCUCACCUUUCUUUUCAGAAUUUGGAUUUUUAAUACACAUUCCAGGUGAUUCUGAUGGGGACUGCUUUGCGGAGCUCUUGGUAAUGGAUGAAAAGAGACUUUGGAGUGAGUGGAAAGGGUUUGCAUCCUGACUCUGCGGCUUACUAGAUGCGUUACCGGGAGAAGACCUUUAAAACCACUAAGUCUGCUUUCUCAGCUGUAGAUGAAUACUCUCCUCAUGGAGUUAUUGUUAAGGCUGGAUGGGUUUGGGUUGGCGAAGCCCUUAGCACCAGGUCUGAUGGAGGGAGCAAUCAGUAAAUAAUAGCCCUAGUGAAGAUGGUGUUAGAUCCUUGUAUCAUUUGAGUCCUUGCCGGACGGACACAGAAUCCAACUCAGAUGGUACCGGGGACAUUUGUGAAAGGAUGACACAGUGGGCAGGGUUAGGGAACUAACACAGACGCUAAGGCACCCAGAGAUGAGCAACAAGGAGAAGCUGGCAGUACCCUUGGUCCUGAAGGGGCAAGGGAAAUAAUAAUGGGGUUGGAGAGCUCAGUGAGAGCUGGAUUCUUGGAGCAGAGGUCACUCCACAGAAUCUCUGGUGGCAGAGAGGAAGCCACUGCUGAAAUGCAAGUGAAGCAAGAGGGACUGAGGAAGAAACAUCCCUUGCUCUGAUCUCUGGCCUGUGCCUCCUGUUACCUAACCUAACCAGGAAACCAGCCGCAAGGGAGCCUGGGAAGUGGAGUCCUAAGGAAUCAGCCUGCUGGGUGGGGUGCAGAGAGGGGCGGAGGGUGGGAAGGGAGGGAGAGGGAGACAGAAAGGUGAGAAACAGCUUGAAGAAGAUGAUGGAAGCCAGUGCUGGGAAUCUGAGGUUUAUGGAUAAUCUUUUCAUCAGAAUUGAAAUAGAGCUGGCGUUCUCUGAAAGAUCCAGUAGUUUCUGCAGACUGUUCGGUAAGAAUGGGCCAUUUAUUUUCCACACUGGAAUCGCAUCCUAUCCUGGGACAUUUAGGCUGUUCACACACGGUCAUCAAAUCAUCUGGGGGAGCUGGGCGUGGUGGUGCACACCUGUAAUCCCAGCAACUCAGGAGAGGAGGAUCAGGAGUUCAAAGCCACCCUCAGCAACUCAGUGAGACCCUGUCUCUAAAUAA
RNAcentral lists this long non-coding RNA (1411 nucleotides) under Marmota monax (woodchuck). The record is from RNAcentral. Lineage: Eukaryota; Metazoa; Chordata; Mammalia; Rodentia; Sciuridae.